UCGAUCUCGCUCUCUCCAGACUCCAUUCUCCCUUUUCUCUCGCUCUCUCGAAACUCUAGCACAAGCUUCGCUCCAGGCCACCUCCCACCGAUUGUGACGCCAACGACCACCUGGCCACCUCCCUCAUCUGCUCCUCAUUCGCCUGGAUCCGAUCGACGAUCGCUAUCGCACCAUUCCGGGGAUUUCCCACAAUCAUCACUAACGCCGCCAUUCCGGGGAUUUCAGGCCAUUGGUGCUACAAUUGGCGACGGAGGCGGAACAACUAGAGUAUGCUGAGAUCUUGCAUUUUCAGAGAAGGAAGUUCACUGCUUUUGAUGUUUGAAAAAUUCAAGACGCCACUGAUCGAUUAACUGGGAAGAUGAAGCAAAUCUCUCAUGUGCCUAUUGAUCUCAUCAUUUAUUCACCGAAUGUCAUUGUUGUUGCAGUGAACUUAUCUUCGCAUUCUGAAGUAGAAGACUAACUACCACUACUAAACGUGAAUCCUCCUCCGGGGUUCACAACUGCAAUAAGAUCUCUGAUAGCUGACUUUGGCUUGCUAAGCAACCACUGAACAUUUUUGCUUGGUUUAUCAAACCUAAGCAUAUCCUGCAAAUCAAAAAAUCUCCAAGAAACCUCAAGAGAGAGCCUCAUUCUCCGCUUUCUCAACCCCUACGCCGUGUAUAUCUUAUUGUGCUGAUCCAUUCUCACUAGUCUCUUGCGAGAAAAUAUGUAGGCCUAUCUCUGUCCUACAGCCUACCAAGUUUCAAAUGUCUUCAGUUAAGUCCAUAAUUAAAGGUUAAGAACCCAUGGCUCAAUGUUGAUAUACUUAGUGGACUAUCAUUGAACCAUUUCGGUUUAAGUGAAGAUAGGUUCCUGUUAUCAUGAUGUGAUUGAGCAUCCAAUGGACUUUUGGACAAUAAGGAAGAAGCUUGACUUAUGUGAUGAGAUUGAGGAAUUGCUUUAUAGUCUUGUAGAAAACUCACUGCACGAGUGAGCACUAAAAUUAUUAUUAAUUCAUUGGAUGUUUUGUUAUUCUUUUCAUUCAACUUCUACCUAUCUUGUUGAGUUUUGUCUUAAAGUUGUUAGUAAAUUUGUGAUUUUAGUAACAUUUUUGUUCAU
This is a long non-coding RNA of Dioscorea cayenensis subsp. rotundata (Guinea yam), 1098 nucleotides long. RefSeq lists it as uncharacterized. The record is from RefSeq and is a predicted model, not a curated record. The transcript is spliced from 7 exons. NCBI's taxonomy places the organism in Eukaryota, Viridiplantae, Streptophyta, Magnoliopsida, Dioscoreales, Dioscoreaceae.